This 476-nucleotide long non-coding RNA is filed under the name Homo sapiens (human). RNAcentral describes it as "HSALNT0391274". Lineage: Eukaryota; Metazoa; Chordata; Mammalia; Primates; Hominidae. The record is from RNAcentral.
CUUGAGCCCAACUGGAGUGCAGGAAAGGUUCCAGGAUACAUGUGCAGAACGUGCAGGUUUGUUACAUAGGUAAACGUGUGCAAUGGUGGUUUGCUGCACCCAUCAACCCAUCACCUAGGUAUUAAGCCCCACAUGCAUUAGCUAUUUGUCCUGAUGCUCUCCCUCCCCCACCCCUCCCGAUAGGCCCCGAUGUGUGUUUUUCCUCUCCCUGUGUCCAUGCGUUCUCAUUGUUCAGCUCCCACUUAUAAGUGAGAACAUGUGGUGUUUGGUUUUCUGUUUCUGUGUUAGUUUGCUGAGGAUGAUGGUUUCCGGCUUCAUUCAUGUCCCUGCAAAGGACAUGAUCUCAUUCCUUUUUAUGGCUGCAUAGUUAUUCCAUGGUGUAUAUGUGCCACAUUUUCUUUAUCCAGUCUAUCAUUGAUGGGCAUUUGGGUUGGUUCCAAGUCUUUGCUAUUGUGAAUAGUGCUGCAAUAAACACA